CCUACGGGUGGCAGCAGUGAGGAAUAUUGGUCAAUGGGCUUACGCCUGAACCAGCCAAGUCGCGUGAGGGAAGACUGCCCUAUGGGUUGUAAACCUCUGUUGUCAGGGAGCAACGCCGGCUACGUGUAGCCGGACUGAGAGAACCUGAAGAAAAAGCAGCGGCUCACGCCGUGCCAGCAGCCGCGGUAAUACGGAGGCUGCGAGCGUGAGCCGGAUUGAUUGGGGUGAACGGGGGCGUAGGCGGAAUGCCAAGUCCGCGGUAAAAUCGCGGGGCUCAACCUCGCUCCGCCGUUGAAACUGGCGUUCUUGAGUGGGCGAGAAGUAUGCGGAAUGCGUGGUGUAGCGGUGAAAUGCAUAGAUAUCACGCAGAACUCCGAUUGCGAAGGCAGCUUACCGGCGCCCACCUGACGCUGACGCACGAAAGCGUGGGUAUCGAACAGGAUUAGAUACCCUAGUAGUC
RNAcentral lists this ribosomal RNA (460 nucleotides) under uncultured bacterium. RNAcentral's name for it is "partial 16S ribosomal RNA". It matches the Rfam family "Bacterial small subunit ribosomal RNA", at positions 338 to 795 of the family's 1533-position model. The record is from RNAcentral.